RNAcentral lists this ribosomal RNA (334 nucleotides) under Hordeum pusillum. The record is from RNAcentral. Lineage: Eukaryota; Viridiplantae; Streptophyta; Magnoliopsida; Poales; Poaceae.
GAUGGGUGACAUUCUGGGAAGUCCUAGUGUUGCAUUACCGAAAGGGGUCGAGACCGCGGUAAACCUCUAGUUGGUGCGGUAGAGAGGGAGGGGUGGAGACCGUGGUAAACACGACACGUGUACGUUGUUGAGCGGGAUAAGUGGUACGGUGCAGUAUUCGUUAUUAGGAAGCGUUGUCAAAGAGUGCUCGAUCGUGUUUGUGGUGGAGCCUUGAGGCGGGAGCAUAAUGGACGAAGGCGGGGGAAACAUGUCGGAUGCGAUCAUACCAGCACUAAAGCAACGGAUCCCAUGAGAACUCCCGAAGUUAAGCGUGCUUGGGCGAGAGUAGUACUAG